GCUCGGCCGCCAUCUUUGUGAGGGCGGGAGUUAGAUUCCCAUUGCUUGAAAAGUGUGGAAGGGAGCGUUCGGACGACAGCUACUUCCGCCCCGCACGCACACGCUUCCUCCUGCCAUCUUUGUGAGGGGCGUAUGCAGGCAAUUGCUUGGGAGGGACAGGGACACAUGUUCUGCCCAGCCCAAGCCUAGAAAGCAAGUAGCUACUGGUGAACUGACAGUUUGGAAGACAAUAGAAAAGAGAGUUAUAAUAGACAAGGAAGAGGAAGAUGGCCUUGCCGUAGUAGACGCCAUUGAUAGCCUCGCGAUCACUGAGGUACGGCAUGAUGGAGUCAAUCAGACCAUGCGGCAUCUGGUCCAUUUCAGAGAAAAUGAAAAGCGACCUCGGACAGAC
Molecule: non-coding RNA, 391 nt
Organism: Chrysemys picta bellii (western painted turtle)
Lineage: Eukaryota; Metazoa; Chordata; Testudines; Emydidae
Source: RefSeq, a predicted model, not a curated record